This 496-nucleotide ribosomal RNA is filed under the name uncultured bacterium. RNAcentral's name for it is "partial 16S ribosomal RNA". It matches the Rfam family "Bacterial small subunit ribosomal RNA", at positions 29 to 507 of the family's 1533-position model. The record is from RNAcentral.
AUGAACGCUGGCGGCGUGCCUCAUACAUGCAAGUCGAGCGAACGGACGAGAAGCUUGCUUCUCUGAUGUUAGCGGCGGACGGGUGAGUAACACGUGGAUAACCUACCUAUAAGACUGGGAUAACUUCGGGAAACCGGAGCUAAUACCGGAUAAUAUUUUGAACCGCAUGGUUCAAAAGUGAAAGACGGUCUUGCUGUCACUUAUAGAUGGAUCCGCGCUGCAUUAGCUAGUUGGUAUGGUAACGGCUUACCAAGGCAACGAUGCAUAGCCGACCUGAGAGGGUGAUCGGCCACACUGGAACUGAGACACGGUCCAGACUCCUACGGGAGGCAGCAGUAGGGAAUCUUCCGCAAUGGGCGAAAGCCUGACGGAGCAACGCCGCGUGAGUGAUGAAGGUCUUCGGAUCGUAAAACUCUGUUAUUAGGGAAGAACAUAUGUGUAAGUAACUGUGCACAUCUUGACGGUACCUAAUCAGAAAGCCACGGCUAACUACGUG